CAAAGUGUAGUAUCUGUUCUUAUCAGCUUAAUAUCUGAUAUGUUUCUUAUAUAGAAACAAAAUAUUAAAUUGAUUUUUGGAAUUGGGAGUGGCAAAAGAAGCUUGCUUCUUGCACUCCAUGCAUCAACCUGGUAUUAUAGUACUUCCAGGAAUGGUGCAAUU
This 162-nucleotide small nuclear RNA is filed under the name Halobatrachus didactylus (Lusitanian toadfish). Its description in RNAcentral is "partial U2 snRNA". It matches the Rfam family "U2 spliceosomal RNA", at positions 27 to 186 of the family's 192-position model. Rfam says of the family: U2 is a small nuclear RNA (snRNA) component of the spliceosome (involved in pre-mRNA splicing). Complementary binding between U2 snRNA (in an area lying towards the 5' end but 3' to hairpin I) and the branchpoint sequence (BPS) of the intron results the bulging out of an unpaired adenosine, on the BPS, which initiates a nucleophilic attack at the intronic 5' splice site, thus starting the first of two transesterification reactions that mediate splicing. The record is from RNAcentral. Lineage: Eukaryota; Metazoa; Chordata; Actinopteri; Batrachoidiformes; Batrachoididae.